RNAcentral lists this unclassified non-coding RNA (329 nucleotides) under soil metagenome. Its description in RNAcentral is "partial contains 5.8S ribosomal RNA, internal transcribed spacer 2, and large subunit ribosomal RNA". The stretch from base 1 to 120 matches the Rfam family "5.8S ribosomal RNA", at positions 35 to 154 of the family's 154-position model. The record is from RNAcentral.
GAUGAAGAACGUAGCGAAAUGCGAUAAGUAAUGUGAAUUGCAGAAUUCAGUGAAUCAUCGAAUCUUUGAACGCACAUUGCGCCCCUUGGUAUUCCGAGGGGCAUGCCUGUUCGAGCGUCAUUAUAACCCCUCAAGCUCAGCUUGGUGUUGGGGCCUGCUGCACUGGCAGCCCUUAAAAUCAGUGGCGGCGCCAUCUGGCUCUAAGCGUAGUAAUUCUUCUCGCUAUGGAGUCCUGGUGGAUGCUUGCCAUCAACCCCCAAUUUUUCUAUGGUUGACCUCGGAUCAGGUAGGGAUACCUGCUGAACUUAAGCAUAUCAAUAAGCGGAGGA